This 2897-nucleotide ribosomal RNA is filed under the name Haemophilus influenzae R2866. RNAcentral's name for it is "bacterial LSU rRNA". It matches the Rfam family "Bacterial large subunit ribosomal RNA". Lineage: Bacteria; Pseudomonadati; Pseudomonadota; Gammaproteobacteria; Pasteurellales; Pasteurellaceae. The record is from RNAcentral.
GUUAAGUGACUAAGCGUACAAGGUGGAUGCCUUGGCAAUCAGAGGCGAAGAAGGACGUGCUAAUCUGCGAAAAGCUUGGAUGAGUCGAUAAGAGGCGUUUAAUCCAAGAUAUCCGAAUGGGGAAACCCAGUAGAUGAAGAAUCUACUAUCAACAAGUGAAUUCAUAGCUUGUUGAGGCAAACCGGGAGAACUGAAACAUCUAAGUACCCCGAGGAAAAGAAAUCAACCGAGAUUUCGUCAGUAGUGGCGAGCGAAAGCGAAAGAGCCAGUAAGUGAUAGCAGUAUAGUUAGGAGAAUGUGUUGGGAAGCACAAUCAAAGAGGGUGAUAAUCCCGUAUCUAAAAACUAUAUUGUGGUACUAAGCUAACGAGAAGUAGGGCGGGACACGUGAUAUCCUGUUUGAAGAAGGGGGGCCCAUCCUCCAAGGCUAAAUACUCCUGAUUGACCGAUAGUGAACCAGUACUGUGAAGGAAAGGCGAAAAGAACCCCGGUGAGGGGAGUGAAAUAGAACCUGAAACCUUGUACGUACAAGCAGUGGGAGCGAGGGCAACCUUGUGACUGCGUACCUUUUGUAUAAUGGGUCAGCGACUUAUAUUUUGUAGCGAGGUUAACCGAAUAGGGGAGCCGAAGGGAAACCGAGUCUUAACUGGGCGAAUAGUUGCAAGGUAUAGACCCGAAACCCGGUGAUCUAGCCAUGGGCAGGUUGAAGGUUGGGUAACACUAACUGGAGGACCGAACCGACUAAUGUUGAAAAAUUAGCGGAUGACUUGUGGCUGGGGGUGAAAGGCCAAUCAAACCGGGAGAUAGCUGGUUCUCCCCGAAAUCUAUUUAGGUAGAGCCUUGAGGUGACACCUUUGGGGGUAGAGCACUGUUUCGGCUAGGGGUCCAUCCCGGAUUACCAACCCGAUGCAAACUACGAAUACCAAAGAGUGAUACUCAGGAGACACACGGCGGGUGCUAACGUCCGUCGUGGAGAGGGAAACAACCCAGACCGCCAGCUAAGGUCCCCAAGUCUAUAUUAAGUGGGAAACGAAGUGGGAAGGCUUAGACAGCUAGGAUGUUGGCUUAGAAGCAGCCAUCAUUUAAAGAAAGCGUAAUAGCUCACUAGUCGAGUCGGCCUGCGCGGAAGAUGUAACGGGGCUGAAAUAUAGCACCGAAGCUGCGGCAUCAGACGAAAGUCUGUUGGGUAGGGGAGCGUUCUGUAAGCGGAUGAAGGUUAAUUGAGAGGUUAGCUGGACGUAUCAGAAGUGCGAAUGCUGACAUAAGUAACGAUAAAACGGGUGAAAAACCCGUUCGCCGGAAGACCAAGGGUUCCUGUCCAACGUUAAUCGGGGCAGGGUGAGUCGGCUCCUAAGGCGAGGCUGAAAAGCGUAGUCGAUGGGAAACAGGUUAAUAUUCCUGUACUUGGUAAAGCUGCGAUGUGGGGACGGAGUAGGUUAGGUUAUCGCACUGUUGGAUAUGUGCGUUUAAGUUGGUAGGUGGGAAGUUUAGGCAAAUCCGGACUUCCUUAACACAGAGAGAUGAUGACGAGGCUCUACGGAGCUGAAGUAACUGAUACCACACUUCCAGGAAAAGCCACUAAGCGAAAGGCUUUACUAAACCGUACUGAAAACCGACACAGGUGGUCAGGUAGAGAAUACUCAGGCGCUUGAGAGAACUCGGGUGAAGGAACUAGGCAAAAUAGCACCGUAACUUCGGGAGAAGGUGCGCCGGCGUAGAUUGUAAGGGCUAGCCCCUGAAGGUUGAACCGGUCGAAGUGACCCGCUGGCUGCAACUGUUUAUUAAAAACACAGCACUCUGCAAACACGAAAGUGGACGUAUAGGGUGUGAUGCCUGCCCGGUGCUGGAAGGUUAAUUGAUGGUGUCAUCGAAAGAGAAGCACCUGAUCGAAGCCCCAGUAAACGGCGGCCGUAACUAUAACGGUCCUAAGGUAGCGAAAUUCCUUGUCGGGUAAGUUCCGACCUGCACGAAUGGCAUAAUGAUGGCCAGGCUGUCUCCACCCGAGACUCAGUGAAAUUGAAAUCGCCGUGAAGAUGCGGUGUACCCGCGGCUAGACGGAAAGACCCCGUGAACCUUUACUAUAGCUUGACACUGAACAUUGAAUUUUGAUGUGUAGGAUAGGUGGGAGACUUAGAAGCAGUCACGCCAGUGAUUGUGGAGUCAUCCUUGAAAUACCACCCUUUAACGUUUGAUGUUCUAACGAAGAUUGCGGAACGCGGUCUCGGACAGUGUCUGGUGGGUAGUUUGACUGGGGCGGUCUCCUCCCAAAGCGUAACGGAGGAGCACGAAGGUUUGCUAAUCACGGUCGGACAUCGUGAGGUUAGUGCAAUGGUAUAAGCAAGCUUAACUGCGAGACAGACAAGUCGAGCAGGUACGAAAGUAGGUCAUAGUGAUCCGGUGGUUCUGAAUGGAAGGGCCAUCGCUCAACGGAUAAAAGGUACUCCGGGGAUAACAGGCUGAUACCGCCCAAGAGUUCAUAUCGACGGCGGUGUUUGGCACCUCGAUGUCGGCUCAUCACAUCCUGGGGCUGAAGUAGGUCCCAAGGGUAUGGCUGUUCGCCAUUUAAAGUGGUACGCGAGCUGGGUUUAGAACGUCGUGAGACAGUUCGGUCCCUAUCUGCCGUGGGCGUAGGAGAAUUGGUUGGGGCUGCUCCUAGUACGAGAGGACCGGAGUGGACGCACCACUGGUGUUCCGGUUGUGUCGCCAGACGCAUUGCCGGGUAGCUAAGUGCGGAAGAGAUAAGUGCUGAAAGCAUCUAAGCACGAAACUUGCCAAGAGAUGAGUUCUCCCAAUCUAAGAGAUAGUAAGGGUUGUUGUAGACUACGACGUAGAUAGGUCUGGUGUGUAAGUGUAGUGAUACAUUGAGCUAACAGAUACUAAUUGCCCGAGAGGCUUAGC